This 114-nucleotide ribosomal RNA is filed under the name uncultured bacterium. RNAcentral's name for it is "partial 16S ribosomal RNA". It matches the Rfam family "Bacterial small subunit ribosomal RNA", at positions 557 to 670 of the family's 1533-position model. The record is from RNAcentral.
GGCGUAAAGAGCAUGUAGGCGGAUAGAUAAGUUGGAAGUGAAAUCCUAUGGCUUAACCAUAGAACUGCUUCCAAGACUGUCUAUCUAGAAUAUGGGAGAGGUAGAUGGAAUUUC